This 460-nucleotide ribosomal RNA is filed under the name uncultured bacterium. Its description in RNAcentral is "partial 16S ribosomal RNA". It matches the Rfam family "Bacterial small subunit ribosomal RNA", at positions 338 to 795 of the family's 1533-position model. The record is from RNAcentral.
CCUACGGGAGGCAGCAGUGAGGAAUAUUGGUCAAUGGACGAGAGUCUGAACCAGCCAAGUAGCGUGAAGGAUGACUGCCCUAUGGGUUGUAAACUUCUUUUAUAAAGGAAUAAAACGAGGCACGUGUGCCUUUUUGCAUGUACUUUAUGAAUAAGGAUCGGCUCACUCCGUGCCAGCAGCCGCGGUAAUACGGAGGAUCCGAGCGUUAUCCGGUUUUAUUGGGUUUAAAGGGAGCCUAGCGGGGUUGUUAAGUCAGUUGUGAAAGUUUGCGGCUCAACCGUAAAAUUGCAAUUGAUACUGGCAGUCUUGAGUACAGUGGAGGUAGGCGGAAUUCGAGGUGUAGCGGUGAAAUGCUUAGAUAUCACGAAGAACCCCAAUGGCGAAGGCAGCUUACUAAGCUGAGACUGACAUUGAUGCUCGAAAGUGUGGGUAUCAAACAGGAUUAGAUACCCCUGUAGUC